Molecule: ribosomal RNA, 468 nt
Filed under: uncultured bacterium
Lineage: Bacteria
Description: partial 16S ribosomal RNA
Rfam family: Bacterial small subunit ribosomal RNA
Source: RNAcentral
GACGAACGCUGGCGGCGUGCUUAACACAUGCAAGUCGAACGGAAAGGCCCUGCUUUUGUGGGGUGCUCGAGUGGCGAACGGGUGAGUAACACGUGAGUAACCUGCCCUUGACUUUGGGAUAACUUCAGGAAACUGGGGCUAAUACCGGAUAGGAGCUCCUGCUGCAUGGUGGGGGUUGGAAAGUUUCGGCGGGUGGGGAUGGACUCGCGGCUUAUCAGCUUGUUGGUGGGGUAGUGGCUUACCAAGGCUUUGACGGGUAGCCGGCCUGAGAGGGUGACCGGCCACAGUGGGACUGAGAUACGGCCCAGACUGCUACGGGAGGCAGCAGUGGGGAAUAUUGCACAAUGGGCGGAAGCCUGAUGCAGCAACGCCGCGUGCGGGAUGACGGCCUUCGGGUUGUAAACCGCUUUCGCCUGUGACGAAGCGUGAGUGACGGUAAUGGGUAAAGAAGCACCGGCUAACUACGUG